RNAcentral lists this ribosomal RNA (510 nucleotides) under uncultured bacterium. RNAcentral's name for it is "partial 16S ribosomal RNA". It matches the Rfam family "Bacterial small subunit ribosomal RNA", at positions 28 to 507 of the family's 1533-position model. The record is from RNAcentral.
GACGAACGCUGGCGGCGUGCUUAACACAUGCAAGUCGAACGAAGAGCGACGGAAGCUUGCUUCUAUCAAUCUUAGUGGCGAACGGGUGAGUAACGCGUAAUCAACCUGCCCUUCAGAGGGGGACAACAGUUGGAAACGACUGCUAAUACCGCAUACGAUCUAAUCUCGGCAUCGAGGAUGGAUGAAAGGUGGCCUCUACAUGUAAGCUAUCACUGAAGGAGGGGAUUGCGUCUGAUUAGCUAGUUGGAGGGGUAACGGCCCACCAAGGCGAUGAUCAGUAGCCGGUCUGAGAGGAUGAACGGCCACAUUGGGACUGAGACACGGCCCAGACUCCUACGGGAGGCAGCAGUGGGGAAUCUUCCGCAAUGGACGAAAGUCUGACGGAGCAACGCCGCGUGAGUGAUGACGGCCUUCGGGUUGUAAAGCUCUGUUAAUCGGGACGAAAGGCCUUCUUGCGAAUAGUGAGAAGGAUUGACGGUACCGGAAGAGAAAACCACGGCUAACUACGUG